This is a long non-coding RNA of Lates calcarifer (barramundi perch), 761 nucleotides long. RefSeq lists it as uncharacterized. NCBI's taxonomy places the organism in Eukaryota, Metazoa, Chordata, Actinopteri, Centropomidae. The transcript has 5 exons. The record is from RefSeq and is a predicted model, not a curated record.
AGGCGGAGAAAGGAAGUCGGAAAACAGGUUAAAACCAACGUGUAAACCGUUUCUUCGGUUUGUCAGUUCUGUGAGAAAACUUAGUUACUGAAGAAGCCUUGAUGCUAAAAACAAGUUCUGAAGUCAGCCUUUCUGUCGAACAGGAGCGUUGAACACACCUGCGGCGCGAAAGUGUCACUUUGUCCACGACAUCGUCCACGAUCGCAGACACGUGGUCCAUGGUUGGAGAGGCAUUGUUGAGGAUGAGGGAGACAUUGUUCACGAUCCUAGACCUUGUCAAAGAUGAGCAAGACGUUGUCCGUGAUCAGAGACACUGUCCAUGAUUCGCAGAGAAAUGUGCAAGAAUCGCAGAUGACUGGGGUCCCCGACUCGACGGCAGCGCCCGUGUUUAGAGAGACAUUGUGGAUGAUCACAGAGACAUCGUCCAUGAUCGCAGAGAGUCAUCAUCCACGUUCAGAGAGACAUCAUCCAAACCAUGCUGAAUUCAAAGAAACAACAGGAUCUGCCAAAGGUGAAGGAGGAGGAGGGGCAGCAGCAGGUGCAGGUGACUCUUCUGCACCUGAAGUGAAUGGAAUAAAACAACAAGCUUCAUAUCAACAUACAGUUUGAUACAGUUUUCUCUGAUGAAGACUUGGCAGUCAAAGACGUCAGUGCCUCCACUGCAAAGCAAGAUGAGGUUCAUCUGCGCCUGUGUGCUGGAGAGGAGAUUCUGCCUUAUCAACGACGGAGAUGAUGUUCCACCGGACAGGAGCCAUGUUUAU